RNAcentral lists this ribosomal RNA (492 nucleotides) under uncultured bacterium. RNAcentral describes it as "partial 16S ribosomal RNA". It matches the Rfam family "Bacterial small subunit ribosomal RNA", at positions 29 to 507 of the family's 1533-position model. The record is from RNAcentral.
AGUGAACGCUGGCGGUAGGCCUAACACAUGCAAGUCGAACGGCAGCACAGUAAGAGCUUGCUCUUACGGGUGGCGAGUGGCGGACGGGUGAGGAAUACAUCGGAAUCUACUUUUUCGUGGGGGAUAACGUAGGGAAACUUACGCUAAUACCGCAUACGACCUACGGGUGAAAGCAGGGGAUCUUCGGACCUUGCGCGAUUGAAUGAGCCGAUGUCGGAUUAGCUAGUUGGCGGGGUAAAGGCCCACCAAGGCGACGAUCCGUAGCUGGUCUGAGAGGAUGAUCAGCCACACUGGAGCUGAGACACGGUCCAGACUCCUACGGGAGGCAACAGUGGGGAAUAUUGGACAAUGGGCGCAAGCCUGAUCCAGCCAUACCGCGUGGGUGAAGAAGGCCUUCGGGUUGUAAAGCCCUUUUGUUGGGAAAGAAAAGCAGCAGGUUAAUACCCCGCUGUUCUGACGGUACCCAAAGAAUAAGCACCGGCUAACUUCGUG